GCCCUUAUGGCUGUCGUCAGCUUCGUGUCGUGAGAUGUUUGGUUAAGUCCAGCAACGAGCGCAACCCUUAUCUUUAGUUGCCAGCGCGUAAUGGCGGGAACUCGUAGAGAGACUGCCCGGGUUAACCGAGAGGAAGGCGGGGAUGACGUCAAGUCCUCAUGGCCCUUAUAUCCAGGGCUACACACGUGCUACAAUGGUAAAUACAGAGGGCAGCGAGCCGGUGACGGCGAGCGAAUCCCUAAAGUUUAUCUCAGUCCGGAUUGGAGUCUGCAACUCGACUCCAUGAAGUUCGAAUCGCUAGUAAUCGCGGAUCAGCAUGCCGCGGUGAAUAUGUUCCCGGGCGUUGUACACACCGCCCGUCACACCAUGAGAGCAGAGUUAUACCCGACGUC
This 392-nucleotide ribosomal RNA is filed under the name uncultured delta proteobacterium. RNAcentral's name for it is "bacterial SSU rRNA". It matches the Rfam family "Bacterial small subunit ribosomal RNA", at positions 1040 to 1428 of the family's 1533-position model. The record is from RNAcentral. Lineage: Bacteria; Deltaproteobacteria.